This 747-nucleotide ribosomal RNA is filed under the name Streptomyces sp. RNAcentral describes it as "bacterial SSU rRNA". It matches the Rfam family "Bacterial small subunit ribosomal RNA", at positions 68 to 830 of the family's 1533-position model. Lineage: Bacteria; Bacillati; Actinomycetota; Actinomycetes; Kitasatosporales; Streptomycetaceae. The record is from RNAcentral.
GAUGAACCGCUUUCGGGCGGGGAUUAGUGGCGAACGGGUGAGUAACACGUGGGCAAUCUGCCCUGCACUCUGGGACAAGCCCUGGAAACGGGGUCUAAUACCGGAUAUGACCGUCUGCCGCAUGGUGGAUGGUGUAAAGCUCCGGCGGUGCAGGAUGAGCCCGCGGCCUAUCAGCUUGUUGGUGAGGUAGUGGCUCACCAAGGCGACGACGGGUAGCCGGCCUGAGAGGGCGACCGGCCACACUGGGACUGAGACACGGCCCAGACUCCUACGGGAGGCAGCAGUGGGGAAUAUUGCACAAUGGGCGAAAGCCUGAUGCAGCGACGCCGCGUGAGGGAUGACGGCCUUCGGGUUGUAAACCUCUUUCAGCAGGGAAGAAGCGAAAGUGACGGUACCUGCAGAAGAAGCGCCGGCUAACUACGUGCCAGCAGCCGCGGUAAUACGUAGGGCGCAAGCGUUGUCCGGAAUUAUUGGGCGUAAAGAGCUCGUAGGCGGCUUGUCACGUCGGUUGUGAAAGCCCGGGGCUUAACCCCGGGUCUGCAGUCGAUACGGGCAGGCUAGAGUUCGGUAGGGGAGAUCGGAAUUCCUGGUGUAGCGGUGAAAUGCGCAGAUAUCAGGAGGAACACCGGUGGCGAAGGCGGAUCUCUGGGCCGAUACUGACGCUGAGGAGCGAAAGCGUGGGGAGCGAACAGGAUUAGAUACCCUGGUAGUCCACGCCGUAAACGGUGGGCACUAGGUGUGGGCAAC